This 178-nucleotide unclassified non-coding RNA is filed under the name soil metagenome. RNAcentral's name for it is "partial internal transcribed spacer 1". The record is from RNAcentral.
CAGACGUCAUGCCCUUCACGGGUAGAUCCUCCCACCCUUGUGUAUUAUACCUGUUGUGUUGCUUUGGCAGGCCCGUGGCCGCGGCCACCACCGGCUCUCGGGCUGGUGCAGUGCCCUGCCAGAGGACCCCUAAACUCUGUUUGUUCAGUAGUGUCUGAGUACUGAUAUACAAUAGUUA